This 162-nucleotide ribosomal RNA is filed under the name Echinops spinosissimus subsp. neumayeri. RNAcentral's name for it is "5.8S ribosomal RNA". It matches the Rfam family "5.8S ribosomal RNA". From Rfam's summary of the family: 5.8S ribosomal RNA (5.8S rRNA) is a component of the large subunit of the eukaryotic ribosome. The record is from RNAcentral. Lineage: Eukaryota; Viridiplantae; Streptophyta; Magnoliopsida; Asterales; Asteraceae.
UAAACGACUCUCGGCAACGGAUAUCUMGGCUCACGCAUCGAUGAAGAACGUAGCAAAAUGCGAUACUUGGUGUGAAUUGCAGAAUCCCGUGAACCAUCGAGUUUUUGAACGCAAGUUGCGCCCGAAGYCAUUCGGYCGAGGGCACGUCUGCCUGGGCGUCAC